Non-coding RNA from Cordylochernes scorpioides, 73 nucleotides. NCBI's taxonomy places the organism in Eukaryota, Metazoa, Arthropoda, Arachnida, Pseudoscorpiones, Chernetidae. The record is from the annotation of a GenBank genome assembly.
UCCAGGGUAGGCUAGGAGACAUGGCAUCUGCCCGGUAAGCGGAACACUGUGGGUUCGAUUCCCAUCCCUGGAC